This 483-nucleotide ribosomal RNA is filed under the name uncultured bacterium. RNAcentral describes it as "bacterial SSU rRNA". It matches the Rfam family "Bacterial small subunit ribosomal RNA", at positions 28 to 514 of the family's 1533-position model. The record is from RNAcentral.
GAUGAACGCUAGCGGCAGGCUUAACACAUGCAAGUCGAGGGGUAUAGUUCUUCGGAAUUAGAGACCGGCGCACGGGUGCGUAACGCGUAUGCAAUCUACCUUUCACAAAGGGAUAGCCCAGAGAAAUUUGGAUUAAUACCUUAUAGUAAUACGACUUGGCAUCAAGAUGUAUUUAAAGAUUUAUCGGUGAAAGAUGAGCAUGCAUCCCAUUAGCUUGUUGGUAAGGUAACGGCUUACCAAGGCAACGAUGGGUAGGGGUCCUGAGAGGGAGAUCCCCCACACUGGUACUGAGACACGGACCAGACUCCUACGGGAGGCAGCAGUGAGGAAUAUUGGACAAUGGGCGCAAGCCUGAUCCAGCCAUGCCGCGUGCAGGAAGAAGGUCCUAUGGAUUGUAAACUGCUUUUAUACAGGAAGAACACUCCUCGUGAGGGAACUUGACGGUACUGUAUGAAUAAGGACCGGCUAACUCCGUGCCAGCAG